GAAGGGUGCAAGCGUUAUUCGGAAUAAUUGGGCGUAAAGCGUGCAUAGAUGGUGUGAUAAGUCAAUCGUUAAAUUCCCUCGGCCUAACUGAGGGUCUGCGGUAGAUACUGUCAUGCUAGAGUAUGGAAGAGAGAAGUGGAAUUCUCGGAGUAGCGGUAAAAUGCGUAGAUCUCGAGAGGAACACCGAUGGCGAAGGCAGCUUCUUGGUCCAUUACUGACAUUGAGGUACGAAAGCGUGGGGAGCAAACAGGAUUAGAUACCCUGGUAGUCCACGCUGUAAACGAUGAUCACUAGACGUUAGCUCUGUUUACAGAGUUAGUGUCGAAGCUAACGCGUUAAGUGAUCCGCCUGAGGACUACGGUCGCAAGAUUA
RNAcentral lists this ribosomal RNA (372 nucleotides) under uncultured organism. RNAcentral's name for it is "bacterial SSU rRNA". It matches the Rfam family "Bacterial small subunit ribosomal RNA", at positions 527 to 896 of the family's 1533-position model. The record is from RNAcentral.